UACGUAGGGUGCAAGCGUUAAUCGGAAUUACUGGGCGUAAAGCGUGCGCACGCGGUUAUGUAAGACAGGUGUGAAAUCCCCGGGCUUAACCUGGGAACUGCAUUUGUGACUGCAUAGCUAGAGUACGGUAGAGGGGGAUGGAAUUCCGCGUGUAGCAGUGAAAUGCGUAGAUAUGCGGAGGAACACCGAUGGCGAAGGCAAUCCCCUGGACCUGUACUGACGCUCAUGCACGAAAGCGUGGGGAGCAAACAGG
Molecule: ribosomal RNA, 253 nt
Filed under: uncultured bacterium
Lineage: Bacteria
Description: partial 16S ribosomal RNA
Rfam family: Bacterial small subunit ribosomal RNA
Source: RNAcentral